Molecule: long non-coding RNA, 20353 nt
Filed under: Nicotiana benthamiana
Lineage: Eukaryota; Viridiplantae; Streptophyta; Magnoliopsida; Solanales; Solanaceae
Description: long non-coding RNA (NBEN_LNC016190)
Source: RNAcentral
ACUGCAUCAUGCUUAAAGAAACUAGAGGGAAAACUAAUAACCAGUCGACAGGAACAAACAUCAAUUAUCAUUCAUCCUUAAACUUGAUUAUAAGACUUUCAACAUUUCCUUUCAUGUGCUAUUUAGGGAUUGACACAUACCUGGGAAAUAAGAGGAAAUAAAUAAGAGGCGAGUUUAGCAAGUGAACAUAGCAACAACAAGACCGCAAUAUAUCAACACCAAUAGUUCAUUUCAACCCAUAAAGGGUGUGACACAACCCAGAACCCUCUCAUUACCAAACAACAAUCGAAAAUGAGUUCAAACAAGAUUUUAUUGGAGCAAAUUCAAACCAUUUUCAGUAAAAAUGACACAUCACUUUUCAAAAGAUCAAAAUUUUAAGUGGAAUCCUAAUGGAACAGUAAAAUUUCAGUCCUUUUUAGCCAUUUAAGUUUCUUCUGAGUUUUUAUCACUGAAAAAUUCUCAAAUCAAACCAUUUUAGCUCUCUAACAAACCAGACUUCAUUUCAGGCUUUACAAAUCUAAGAAAUCACAAAGAAACACUUAAUGUAAUGGUGAAAUUCUCUGAAAUUCUUAGCCGUUCCAGAAGCUUCCUACUCUUUAUCUCUUUCUUUGAUUCUCCUUCUAAGGCAAGAAGAGCUGCCUUUAUAGGCAAGCAAACUAGGGCACCCUUAUAUUCUUAAUUUUCAUUUUAGUCCUUCAUUUUUUAACUUGAUAACCAAGUUAUAGCACCAAAAUUUUACAAAAAGCCCUUACUAGAAGCUUCAUAUUCUUGUUACUAAAGAUUCCCUAAGUGAUUUACUUAUACUACCCUCCCAUUCCCUGAAAACUAACCUAAACUACCAGCCUGGGUCAAUUUGACCCAAGGAAAAAUCACAUAUGUCCCUUCAACCCCUUUGAAUUGACCUUAUUGUUCUGGGCUUUUACAUGACAGAACUUUAACAAGUGAUCAAACAGACUUCAGGAGUUAAACCUUUGAAUUGAGCCUUUGAAUUAAAACCUCCGAAUUACACCCCUAGAGUUAAAAGAAAUCUAGGCACAAUUAUGCAAUUAAAGGUAAAAAGCAUCAGCUUAACAAUCAAACUAAUUAAAAAUGUAAAAUAACUGGAUAAUGUGAUCAAAUCAAAUCAAAUCAACUAGACCUAGAUUCCUGACUGUUUACACAUGCGAAUCUCCACUAAAAAACCUAAUCUAAUUCGAAUGAGGAAAUUCUUAGAAGCGAGCAAAAAAAGAAUCGGAAUGAAGGAAGAAAGAGACAACUAACUAAAAUUUUUCUUUAGAAAAACAAUGAAAAUUAAAAGCUAAAGGGGAUGGUAUUCAGAACUCACCGGAAAAGCCUAUAAAAUCUUCAUGCAUUGACAGAGUUUCGAUCUAAGAUUCGAGCCGUCUGAGGGAUAUUCAGAGAAAACCAACAGUGGAUUUGUCAUGAGGGAGGUCAGUGGGUCAUUUGGUAUUGAUUUGGGACCGUUUGGCGGCAGCGGUGCCGUUCACGGCGAUGGAGUCCAUGAUUCAAACGGAUAUUGAAGACGUUUGGCUGAUAUUCGAGAGACACUAGGAAUGGAUUUGGAUAGAGGAGGUUGAGGACAGGAGACGGUGUUAUUUUGGAGGCCUUUGGGUGAUCAUCGCCGGCGGAGGCGAUUUCCAGUCGGUGGUUUGCAGUGCAGAGACGGUGGUGUUAUAGGUCUCUGAUACCAGGUGAGAGACGGAGGUAGAGGUAGGGGGUUCUGUGGGGCUGGGUUUCAUUUGGACGUUGAAAUAAGAGAGCUAGGCUUCCCAGCCAUCUGAUCAUCAAACCUCGACGGCUGGGAUUAAUCUUAGCCAGAACGACAUCGUUCGAGGUAUUGGGGGGCUGGACCGGGUUGGGGAACGAGUUUGGACCUAUUGGGGCGGGUAUUUUGGGUUUCAAGGGAAAACUGGGCCAACAAAAUUAAAGGGAUUUAGCCCAAAAAUAUGAACUCCCAUUUCUUUUAUAUUUUUUCCUUCAUUGUAAUUUUCCUUUUCAAAAAACUUUUGAUUCCUUUUCUUUUUGUAUGAUUUUCUUUUCUUUUAUUUUAAUUAAUUUAAAAUCUAAAUUAAAUCCUAAAACUCCAUUAACCUAUCAAAACCACUAAUUAAAUCUAAAUUUUAUCAUAAUUAAUUGAGAAAGCAAACUAAAAGACUACACAAAAAAUUAAAAGUACACAUUAAGCUAUUUUUUGUAAUUUUUCCAUUAACCUUAAAGUGUAUAAUUAAAUCCUAAAUGUAAAUGCCACGUAUUUUUAUAUUUUUAUUAAUUAAAUAAAGUAAACAUGCACCGACAAUAUGCAAAUAAUAACAGAAAAUGCCACAAAAUCCACAAAAUUACAUGAAAUGAAAAGAAACUUAUUUUCUUGAAUCUAUGAGAGUGAUUCAUAUAGGGAAAAAAUCACAUGCUCACAGCUUCCCUUCUUUUCCAGGAAACACGAAGAGUUUUCCUGCAAAGGUAAGUGAGAGGACAUGAGCGAUUUUUGCCAGCUUGAAUCCUCCUUGAGAAGCAUUUUGAAAACUUUGACCGCACCCUGCUUAAAAGGUUGCCUACAUAUCCUCGACUAAAGAGGAAUCAGGUCGGUGUAGUUAUGGAGUGUUUGGUAGCUGGGACUACCGAAGCUGUGAUCUCACUGUUGUUGUUGCUGCUACUGCUUGCUAGAUCCCCUUAUUACACCUUGUGAAAAAAAAGAGAAGCUAGACUAAGCUAUGAACUAUGAAUUACAAAAGAACCUCUCUAUGUCUUCAGACUUGCUCUUGAUCCUUGUUGCUUGUUGCCAUGUGCGUCUCCCCGUGAAACUUCUUGUCGCCUCGUUGCUAUAUUUCUCUUUCUCCAUGUUGAUGCCGGAUUGUUGGACUUGAAAUGUACUCCCUUUUUAUCCAGGUGGGUGCCUGUUUACCAAAACUUGACGCUUGAAAUGUAUUCCCUUUUUCUUCAGGUGGGCGCCUGAUUACCAAAACUUGAAACUUGAAAUGUAUUCCCUUGUUCUCCAGGUGGGCGCAUGAUUACAAAAACUUGAAAUUUGAAAGGUAUUCCCUUAUUUUCCAAGUGGGCGCCUGAUUACCAAAACUUGAAACUUGAAAACAUUCCCUUAUUCUCCAGGUGGGCGCCUGAUUACCAAAACUUGGAAUUUUCAAUGUAUUCCCUUGUUCUCCAGGUGGACGCCUGAUUAUCAAACCCUGAAAUUUGAAACGUAUACCCUUGUUCUACAGGUCGGCACCUGAAUACCAAGACUUGAAAUUUGAAAUAUAUUCCCUUGUUCUCUAGGUGCGUGCUGGAUUACCAAAGACUUGAAAUUUGAAAUGUAUUCCUUGGUUCUCCAGGUGGCCCCCUGGUUGCCAAAGACUUGAAAUUUGAAACGUACUCCCUUGUUCUCCAGGUGAGCGCCGAUUACCAAAACUUAAAAUUUGAAAGAUAUUCCCUUGUUCUCCAGGUGGACGCUUGAUUACCAAAACUCAAAAUUAGAAAGGUAUUUCCUUGUUCUCCAAGUGGGCGCCUGAUUACCAAAACUUGAAACUUGAAAAGUGUUCCCUUGUUCUCCAGGUGGGCGCCUGAUUACCAAAACUUGAAACUUGAAAAGUGUUCCCUUGUUCUCUAUGUGGGCGCCUGGUUAGCAAGACUUGAAACUCGAAAAAUAUUUCCUUGUUCUCCAGGUGGGCGCCUGAACUUAAAAAGUAUUCCCUUGUUCUCCAGGUGGGCGCCUGACUACCAAGACUUGAAACUUGAAAAUAUUCCCUUGUUCUCUAGGUAGGCGCCUGAUUACCAAAACUUGACUACUUGAAAAGUAUUCCCUGAGACUGCUGCUUGUGUACCUAAUCACAACAAAACAAACAAAACAAAAGAAAUUCUUUCUGCCCCAUUUUGGUGUUGGGCACCAUCCGUGAGUGUUAAUCAAAUCCCAUUACCAACUAUCUCUUCAAAUUUGAAAGCUAAAUCACAUUAUCCAAGAGGGACUUGACAACUCUUAAUUUACGACAACUUUAAGAUUAGGCUGUAUUCUCAAAAGGUAUUAUUUUCCACUAUGUCUUGUUAUCCGAGUUAUAUCAGCUGGGGAUCUACUGGGAACCAGUAGUUAAAGCUACAUCCCAAUAUCCAGGAGGGUCCUGACGACUCUUGUUGAGGAAAUAUUUAUGCAUGUCCGUAUUACCCGUGACUGUUUAAGUUCAAACUGAGUCCCAUUUUCCAGUAGGGUCCUAAAAACUCUUAACUGAAACCUAUUUCAACAUGCCAACCAUUUUAUGCUCUUGUUAUUUGUGAUAAUCUCCCACCUUUAAAUAAGUCCCAUUUUUCAGGAGGGUCCUGAGAAUUCCAAAUUAACCGCCAAUUCUAGCUCUCGGUUGUCUCUACUGGGGUUUGCUAGUUAAAGUUAGGUCCCAUUGCUUAGGAGGGUCCUGACAACUCUUAUUGGGGAAGAUGUUUGUACCAGAUUAUGUUCCCUGUUAAAUUUUAAACCACGUCCCAUUUUCAGGAGGGUCCUGAAGUUCAUAGUCAUAAUUGCCAUGUGCUUGCCUUCCCUUGUGAAGGACUUCCUCGGGAUCUUCAGAAAUUUUUUGCCCCUGUUUCUAUCAAAGAAAAUCUUGUUAGUUUGAAAAGUGGUGGUUAACUUGCGGCAUUCUUAAUGAAGAUGUCAUCCCCACUAUUAUGUUCUGUUGCUUCCAAUUUCUAUAUUGACGAUGAAUCGCCUGAUUUGCUCGGUUGACCCCUGAACCCUAUGGCUUUACUCUAUUCCCCCAUCAUCGUGUUACACUCCGGACCAUUUUGUUAGAAUCCUUACAUCCUUCCUGAAGUUACCGAGUCAGUUCACUAAUGAACCCUUCUCGAUCCUUUCCCUUGCCAUUUCAACUUUUGCUGCAUUUGUUAUGUUUUGACCAGCAUGUGCUUUGCCACUUAGGAGCAAGUAUUGAGCUUUGAAAUUUCUCUCCUGCUUGCUUGAACAAAAUGACUUUGGGGCCAUAUUAGAAGAAUGGAGACUCUAAAGAAAAUGAAAUGCUAUGACUCUUAAUUAUUUUGUUUUAGAAUAAAAGAAUUCCAAAUUUGGCGACUAUUGAGGGAAAAAGAAAAGAAACUUAUCUGUGCAGGAACAACUGGUUUCCAUGAUCAUGACAUGCACUUUAGCUUAGUCGACCUAGUCUGCCCAAAUGAUCGUCCUUCUGCUGUAUGCUUUGUUGUUGCGACCUUCUUCAAACCCAAAUCGUUUAACAAAAACCUGACCUUGCUUAACUUAUGGUUUCCUGGACAGAUUUCCACCAACAGCCUUUUCCAAUUGCUUAUUUCUUGCCUUGCCUUCGCCUUAUGGUGCCCGUGAGGGCUUUCACCAAUAUGACUCUCUCAUUUUCAUUUCUUUCAACUCCCGUCGCCAUACGGUGCCCGUGAGGGUUUUCACCACUAAGACUCUCAUUUUUAUUAUUUUCCUGCUUGAACUAGAGUGUUGUCCCGGGGUAUGAAUCUCCCUUUCUUCCUUGACUCGGCAUUUCUUAAAGAAUGAUCAGAAGGUCUUUCUUUUGAUUGUAAUUCAGGCUUUUGGAUAAGUUUAGGAAAAAGGGGUGUUAAAGGCUCAAAAUAAUUCAAAUAGGUUAAAAAAAGUACAACUUUCGGAAUCAAAUAUUCUUCUAACAACCACAGCUUCUGCCCCAAUUUCUUGCUUAGGGACCAUUCAAUUUUUAUUUGAAUAUGAUAGAGCCAUGAGGUUGCCUACUUAUCCUUAAAAGGGAAUAAGGUAAAACGUAGUUCAUGCCGAUUCCUUGUUUUGUGAUCUUUGCUUUUCUUCUUUUCCUUAUUCUGUUUCUUCAUUUUUCUUUUGUUGUUUUGUGGGUUUUUCCUUCUCUCUCUUUUCUUUUUUUUUUCUUUUCUUUUUAUCUUUUCUUUUUCUUCUUUUUUUCUUCCUUCGCUUUUCUCUUUCUUUCCUUUUAUUCUUCCCUGGUCUUUUCCUUUUAUUGACUUUUACACUUGCAUUUCUGACUUUUGUUACUGAUUCCGAAAGACGGAUAUUGAAAGAAAAUAAUUAAAACUCAAAAGGGUUAGUAAAUGAUAAAGUGUUUAGAUAGCCGAAUAAAGUGUCUUCGUCAUUUCAAUCUCUAAAACAUGCCAAGUAGAAACAAACAUACCAGAUACAGACAAUGAUUUAAAUAAAGAAAAUUAUACAUAGUAUCUCUUAACUGCACCUGAAUUGAUGGCUAUAUCUGCACACUUGCCUUCCACGUCUGUUAGAUACAAUGCCCCGUUGGACAACACUCUUGAUUCGAUGAACGACCCUUGCCAAUUUGGGGCGAACUUGCCCUUUGCCUUUGCCUGAUGAGGGAGGAUGUAUUUCAAUACCAACUUACCCACUUCAAACCUUCUUGGACGCACUUUCUUGUUGUAUGCUCUGGCAUUCUCUGUUGAUACAACUGGCCAUGCCAUACCGCUACCAAUCUUUUUUCAUCAAUCAAACUCAAUUUCUCUAGAAGGGCUUUGACCCAUUCCUCAUCAUCAAUUUCUACCUCGGCGACAAUCCAAAGGGACGGGAUUUCAAUUUUAGCCAAAAUUACUGCUUUUUUGCCAUAUACCAACAAAUAUGGAGUUUCCCCCACUGAGGUGCGGACAGUAGUGCGAUAGCCUAGCAGUGCGAAAGGUAACUUCUCAUGCCAUUGUCUAGACUCUUCCACCAAUUUUGAAAUAUCUUCUUUAUAUUCUUAUUGGCUGCCUCAACUGCUCUAUUCGCCUUGGGACUGUAUGGGGUGGAAUUGCGAUGUGUAAUCUUAAACUGCUGACAUACUUCUUUCAUCAAAUGACUAUUGAGAUUUGCUCUGCUGGCUCGAAGGGCCCGAUGAAAUCUAUGCAACGAAAGGCCAUGGUACGGACAUUGUAUGCAAUUCAGAUGGCGGUGAAUGAAUCAAGUCUCCAUGCAUCUGACAUUGAUGACAUUUGCGCACGAAACUUAUACAAUCUCGCUCCAUGGUGAGCUAAUAAUACCCUAUCUGGAGAAUCUUCUUUGCCAAAACAUAUCAGCUCAUGUGCAGUCCGCAGACUCUAAAAUGUACCUCAUUCAUGAUGGCUAUGCCUGCCCAGACUCUAUGCACCUAAGCAACCCAAGAUCCGGCGUUCUUUUAUAUAGCACCCCUCCACUGAGGAAAACCCCGCUUGAUAGACGACUGAUUGUUCUCUUCAGGUCACUUGUGGCCUGUAUUGGGUACACACCCAUCCUGAUAUAUUCUUUGAUGUCGUGAAACCAAGGCUCAUUGUCAAGCUCUUCCUCCACCACAUAAAAGUAAGCAUAUUGGUCAUAGACUUGGAUAUACAAUGGAUCAACAUAAGCCUUAUUUGGAUGAUGUAACAUUGUCGCUAAGGUGUAUUACAGUAAGCAUGUUGGUCGUGGACUUGGAUAUACAAUGGAUCAACAUAAGCCUUAUCUAGAUGAUGUAACAUUGACGCCAAGGUGGCCAAAGCGUCAGCAACCUCAUUGUGAAUUCUUGGGAUAUGCCUGAACUCUACUGACUGGAAUCGUUGACAAAGGUUGUGCAAGCAUUGCUGGUACGAUAUGAGCUUCAAAUAUCGUGUUUCUCACUCCCCUUGAAUCUGGUGUACCAGAAGUUCCAAUUCUCCUAAGACCAAGACUUCCUGGACACCCAUGUCCACAGCUAACCUCAAACCCAAAAUACAUGCCUCAUACUCUACCAUGUUGUUGGUGCAAUAGAAGUGGAGCGGAGCUGUAACGGCGUAAUGGUGCCCCAUCUCAGAAAUGGGUACUGCUCAUAUCCCGAUGCCUUUCAUGUUGGCGGCCCCAUCAAAAAAUAAUUUUCAUCCCGGCUUCUCACCCUGUUCCAUUUCAUCAAUAUGCAUUAUCUCCUCGUUCGGGAAGUAUGUCUUUAAAGGUUCAUAUUUUUUGUCUACCGGAUUCUCGGCCAAAUGAUCAGCCAAUGCAUGCGCUUUCAUUGCAGUCCUGGUCACGUAAACAAUAUCGAACUCGGUGAGCAAGAUUUGCCAUUUUUCUAGCCUUCCCGUGGGCAUAGGCUUCUGAAAGAUGUAUUUUGAUGGGUCCAAGCGUGAGAUGAGGUAAGUGGUAUAUGAUUACAAGUAAUGUUUCAACUUCUACGCUACCCGAGUUAGGGCACAACACGUCCUUCCAGGAUGAGUAUACUGAGCCUCAUAAGCUGUAAACUUCUUGGUGAGGUAGUAUAUAGCAUGUUCUUUCCUCCUGGUGAUAUCGUGCUGACCCAGCACACAUCCGAAUGAAUUGUCCAAGACUGUCAGAUAUAGGAUCAACGACCUUCCUAGGUCUUGCGGGACAAAAAUCGGUGGGUUAGACAAGUAUUCCUUUAUUUUAUCAAAAGCCUCCAGGCACUCUCCCGUACAUUUAACUGCAGCAACCUUUUUCAAUAACUUAAAGAUGGGCUCGCAGGUUGUCAUGAGCUGAGCAAUUAAUUAACUGAUGUAAUUCAAUCUCCCUAACAGACUCAUCAUCUCUAUUUUGUUCCUCAGAGGCGGAAAUUAUUGCAUGGCUUUGAUCUUUGAUAGAUCUAGUUCAAUGCCUCGGCGACUGACUAUAAGCCCUAGAAACUUCCCUGAGGGGACCCCAAAUACGCAUUUCGCCGGAUUGUGUUUGAGAUUAUACCUGCGGAGCCUCUGGAAGAAUUUCCUCAGAUCUCUGACAUGGUUAGAUUGCUUCCUGGAUUUCACAAUUACAUCAUCCACAUAGACCUCAAUCUCCUUAUGUAUCAUAUCAUGAAAGAUGGUUGUCAUCGCCCUCAUAUAGGUUGCCUCAGUAUUCUUCAGGCCAAAGGGCAUGACCCUGUAACAAUAUGUUCCCAUGGCAUGAUGAACAUUGUCUUCUCCGAAUCCUCCUUAUCCAUCAAGAUCUAGUGGUAGCCUGCUCAACAAUCUACAAAGGACCCAAUCUCAUGCUUUGCACAAUUGUCAAUCAAUAUUAGAUGUUUGGCAAUGGGAGGUUAUCUUUUGGACUUGCUUUGUUUACGUCACAAUAAUUGAUGUAUACCCUGGUUUUAUCAUCCUUUUUCGGCACAUGUACGACAUUGGCUAACCAUGUGGGAUAUCGUGUGACUUGGAUGACCUUGGCCUAAAACUGCUUGGUAAAUUCCUCUUUGAUUUUCACGCUCACAUCAAUUUUAAACUUUCUCAACUUUGUUUAACAGGAGGGCAGGCCGGGUUGGUGGGCAAUUUGUGAACAACUAGGUCAGUGCUCAACCCUAGCAUAUUAUUGUAAGACCAUGCAAAAACAUCUUUGCAUUCCAGCACCGUUUUAAUUAUUUCUCCCCUAAGUUGUGGCUUGAGAUGGUCACUUAUUUUGGUUUCUUUAAUGUUAUAUGGGUCCCCUAAAUUGACUGCUUACGUAUCGCUCAGGUUUGGCUUGGGCUUUUCCUUAAAAUGGCCCAACUCUUUACUAAUUUCAUCCAACGCCAUUUCCUCAUCAUAUUCCCACUCAUCCUCAUAUUCUAUCUCUUGAAUUAUUACUUCUGAAUUAAAUCGAUUUUUAAGACUGGGCCGAAAAGUCCUUAUGCAUGUCAGACCAUUGGAUCCAGCAUAAAAGUACCGUACAAGAAGGAGAAGAAAAUCAAAGAAAAAUGAAAGCUAUUAGCACUAUAGGAAAGGGAAAUUGCAUUUCAUUGAAAUUGGAAAGAUAACAAGGUUUUCCAAAUAGACGGAACAUAACAUCUGAAUUACAACCCUAGAGAUAAUCCAGAUUAAACUGAAAGAAAAAUCAAAGCCGACUAUCACAAGUCCUUUCGAGUGGGAAGAGGAGUAGCUUCCCAGUUGUUGACUUUUGCACGGAUCCCACAAACUACACAUUUGUCUUACUUGAUCCUUUUUCGGCUCCACCAUGUUUACAUCUUCAAACAACUUUUCGAACCUCUCGAGUAAUUCUUUGUCACGAUCAACCGUAACAUUGGCACUUGUUAUUGUCAAACACUUAUUGGCGCCAGGUUUCACAAAUGAUUUGAAGAGACGAGGCACAGGUUUGGGGAGGGCCCAUGCUUUCUUUCUCAUCUUUCUGGCUCUCUUGAUGUCUGCACUUGUACGCUUGAACCCCAAACCAAAAUUCUAGGUUUGUCGGAAGAGACACUAGCUGUAUGAUACCCUAAAGUGAGGCCUCCAAGCCUUUUCCGGGAACGACCCAUUCUUUAGCAUUUCAACUGCCACCAUGACUGCUGCGGUGGACAAUCUUGGUGUUGGAACACGCUCCCAUUCUGGGAAUUUCUCCACUGAUACUGAGCCAUAGACCUGAUACACCCACGACCCUUUAUCAUCAUCUGCUUCAAUGAAGGGUACGAUAACAUCACUGUGAGCAUACAGAUGGUCUUUACCGUGCACCACUAUUUCUUGUCGAUCCCAUUCAAAUUUUACCAUUUGAUGAAAAUUAGAAGGGACUGCUUUAGCAGCAUGGAUCCAAGGUCGCCCCAACAACAAGUUGUAAGAGACAGCUACAUCAAGCACCUGGAACUCCAUGGUAAAAUCAAUGGGCCCGAUUUCAAAUCGAGCACUGUCACCGACCAAAUCUUUUCCCCCGCCAUCAAAUCCUCGUACACUGAUGUUGUUAUUGUGAAUUCUUCCAUUUUCCACCUUCAACUUGUUUAGCAUGGAGAGAGGGAAAAUAUUCGCGCUUGAACCAUUAUCGACCAAAACUCGAGUCCCACAGAAUCUUCGCAUUUUACCGUGAGGUAGAAUUCCCUAUUAUGCUAGGUGCCUUCUAUUGGUAGUUCAUCAUCGAAAAAUGUGACUCUGUUCACCUCAAAAAUCUUAUUGGUUAUUUUCUCCAAAUGGUUGACUGUGAUUUUAUCAAGAAUGUGGACCUCGUUCAGGAUAUUCAUUAAAGCCUGACGGUGCUCGUCUGAAUGAAUUAACAAUGAUAACAACGAGAUUUGAGCAGGCGUCUUCCUCGGUUUUUCCAAAAUAGAGUAAUCCUGCCUUUUCAUCUUUUUUAGAAACUCUUCUGAUUCUUCUUCACUCACAGUUUUCUUCACCUGCACUGAGUUAUCCUUGGUUGGUUUUGAUUUUCUCAAUUCCUCGGGGGCAAAGCACCUCCCCGAUCGGGUCAAUCCAUGAGUCUCACAAAUUUUUUCUCUAACCUCCUUCCCUUCGUGGGUCACUAUUACGCGAUCAUAAUUCCAAGGCACUGACUUACUGCUGAUUACUGGUAGAUGAACUACAUGUUUGAUAAUUACAGGCUCUGAACGAGCGCCUUUUAUAAAAACCACUGGUUUACUAGCCAUCCCUAGUACAACCACCUUUGCAUUCUCUUAUUUCACCAUCCCGUCUUUCAGGGAUUCCUCCUUCACUGUAACAACAGGAUCACUACUUGUUGAGCUUGACUUGAGCAUCGACAUCUCGCUGGUCAAAUUCUCGCCCAUCUUCCGCUCACUGGCUCAGAUCAACAUGAUAGUUUGCGAAGGCUUUUUGGGCUUUCCCUCUUUGUGCACUAUACCGAUCAUAUUUAUCUCUUGAUAAGCAGGCAAUAGAUUUUGAUUAAUGUUGGGUGAUUCUGGGGCUUGCACCUCAAUCCGAUGGAAAUCAAUGAGUUCUUGAAUAGCACACUUUAGAUGCUAACAUUUUUCGUAUCAUUCCCUGAGGAACCGGAACAAUGCUCACAACUGACAGAAUAAUUUAGAUUUCUUGGGGAAGGGUUUGGAAAUUUUGCUUCGAUCGGCCUCAACAUGUCUAGCUGCCUCAACCUAUGGAAUAAGCUGGUAUAUGAUUCUCCCAAUGGAGUGAAAAUUUUCUUCUUCCGCAUUCUCUCAUUUUUCAAAGCUUGGUUGGCCCGGAAAGCAGGUCUCGGGGGUUGCUGGUAGGCUCUUGGAGGGUAGUUAUUUGGUGGAGCAAGGUAAUUAUUUUGUGAAGCUAGCGCACGCCAUUGUACGUAGGCGGGAGUUUGGGUAUAUGUGUCUGCAUGAUGGACUGAGAAACAGGGUUCCGGAGGUGAAUAGUAAAGUUAUGGUGGGCCGUAUGGGGUGUGUGUGUUAUUUGGUGCUGAGGACGGGGUUGGCUGUAAUGGGAUGAAGCCCGGGGCCUGAACCAAGUCCCUGACUCAACAGUUGCUACCUCUCCCUUCUUCUUCUUUCCAAUUGCUCCUCCAGUCCUACUUUGGAUAGCCUGGAUGGUUGCUUUGAUUGCAGAGUAACUCAUGAUUUUGUUGGAUUUGAGUCUUUCCUCAACCAUACUUCCCAUUUUCACUACCUCAUUAAAGGACUUACCUACCGCCGAUACUAGAUGACCAAAAUAUGUAGGCUCCAAAGCUUGCAAGAAAUAAUCUACCAUUUCAUUUUCCUUCAUUGGAGGGUCGGCCCUCGCUGCCUGUUCCCUCUACCGGAAGCCAUAUUCUCUGAAGCUCUCAUUGUACUUCUUUUCCAAUUUUGCCAAAGAUAGACAGUCCGGGAUAAUUUCAAGAUUAUAUUGAAAAUGACAGGCGAAUGCUUGUGCUAGAUCAUCCCAAAUUUACCACCAAGCAUGAUUCUGUCGGGUAUACCAUUCUAAUGAUGACCCACUUAAACUUUGACUGAAGUAUGCUAUAAGCAGUUAAUCCUUUCCUCCUACUCCUCUCAUUUUGCUACAAAAACCUCUCAGAAAGCAUGAUCCUGCCGGGUAUACCAUUCCAACACCGACCCACUUAAACUUUGACUGAAGUAUGCCAUUAGCAGUUUAUCCUUUCCUCAUGCUCCCCUUAUUUUGCAACAAAAACCCUUUAGAUGUGCGAUUGGAUCGUCGUGCCUGUCAUACAAGUCAAACUUGGGCAUCUUAAAGCCUGGAGAUAAUUGCAUAUCUGGGAACAAGAAAAGAUCUUUGAAUGCCAAACUCACCUUGCCACCUAACCCUCGCAUAUCUCGGAAUGAUUGUUCUAAGCUUCUGAUCUUCCUGAGCAUCUCCUCUUGCUCAGGAUAUUUGACUAGUUUUUCAGCCUCCGCCGGGAUUUCAAAACGGGGGGCAUAUGAGUAAGGUUCAUGGGCUUUUUAAGCGGGUUCUGGUGGAUAAUACUGAUUUUCAUGAGCUUGAAGCAAAGGCUCACUAGAGGAUCUGCAGAGUGUAGGCGGAGGAGGUGCCACAUAAAUGAGAGCAAUUGGCGGGGGAGAGGGGGGUAAGGAGCAACUUAGGGUGGUGGAGUUGGGGGUGCUUGAGAAGUCGUACCCUGGUAUUGUGGGUAGGCGAGGAAACUUGGGGGUGGAUCCGUGGUGGGAUGGUCAUGUGACUGAGACACCGGUAGGACGAAGGUCGGAUUAGCAGGAUAGGUUGGUGGUGGCUGCCCUCUCACCCAUGCCUGAUACAUCUCAGCCAUCUGAUGUUUCAGUUUGUACAUAAUCUCUCUCAUUGUAUUAACGUCCAACCCCUCUACCUCUUUCGAAGGACCAAUGAUACUGGCAUUGGUUUCUUGAUUGGCCAUAAUCAGCUUGCUCUUGGACUGAGAGUUGUAUGAGUGAGUUGCCAGAAUGCUGCAGAGAACUAACCACCUGUCUGGAGCGGGAAAGACAACACCAAAACUUGUUAAUGGUUAGGUUUCAGCACAUAGGCAACCACAUGUUCGGGGAUGAAUACACCUAAGCAGUUAUCCAUUUAUAUUAUGCAUACGAAGUGGUUGCUUGCGUCAUCCCGGCUCUUAUCCUAUGCCACCUUUUUUCUCUCUUGUUUUUUAUUUUCUUCUUCACUCUCAAUUUGUUUUUCCUACACCUUUCGUUUCGUUAUUAUUUCCUUUAUUUUACCACAGUUUCUAUCUUUUUUCUUCCUUUCUUUAUUUGGUUAUAGUCGAAUCCUAUGGAGAUUUCCUUCGUAUCAUGACCCUGCAUGAAUCAGACCGAUCAUAGUUUUGGCGAAUGCAUACAGAAAAUAUUUAGAAAACUUCUUCAAUUUUCAUAAAGUAAAGCACUCGAUUACAACUUACUAAAAGAAUUUAACAAACACCAACUCAGCUGAAAACAUUAGACUCUGACUUAAAACGAAAAUAAUUGACUCGACGGCCUACUAUGAACUUUAAAGAAAAUACUAGACUCUCAACAGAUUCGACAAUCAUGAAUACAUUAAAGCCUCUAAUUCUCCUAGGCCUACGGGAUAUCAUUCGGUCUCGCCACAGACUUGCGUGCUAAAUCCCCUUGGAGGUGGUGGAGGUCUUCCAUCACUUAACGAACAAAGGUCAUGGCGGUGGCAAAGAAUAUAGAUCUUGUCAUAUCUUCGCAAUGGCUGCACUUUGUGGUGAUAUAAUCAAUGAUCAUUCGUACCCUCUCUCUUCUAAAACCCUUAUCUUGCAACAAUCACACAAUUUGCUAGGCCCUUACCUCCAAAAUUCGUUCGGCUACACGAUUCAGUUCUUGGAAUUGCUUCAAAUCUCUUAUCGUGUUAUUGUUGCGUACAAUGCUCUCUCUCAGCCUUGAAGUCCCUGGCUUGCUUGGCUAUUUUGUUUUAAACCAUGAUGACCUUCCUUUUCAACCUAGAAACCUCAUUGUCGUGCCUUUCCUUUAAUUUUUCAAUCAUAUAGGCUCGUUCCUCCGCAUUUUUGGCCAAUUGUUGUCGAGCCUUGGACAGCUCACCCUCUGCUUUGUUCAAGUCAAAACCAUAUUGUCCUACCUUUUGCCUCAAAUUUUCUAUGAGCUUUUCAUCCUUCGCACUCCUGGCGAAUUCUUCGUUGCUAUUUUCAUUUUAUGAAUUUGGGCUCACAAAGCUUUAUUUUCUAUGGCUAGUCUUUUCUUUUCCCCCUCGUCUGCUGCAGCUUGCAAACCAUUUUCGAAUUAAAGGUCUUUGACUUGCUUUUCCAAUUUCCCUAUCGUGGCCCUUUAUUCAUUUUCUUUGGCUAACCAAUUCCAUUGUUCUUGUGACGCCUCAGCAAAUUCUUGGAGAUAUGGCCUCUUAGCCGGCCUUCCGAACUCUAUUUCUUUCUUAUACCAAGCAAGGUACCCUGGUGCAACCUCGCCUUUAGAUAAGUCACUUACUCGAGUGUCCACCGUCAAGUACUGAAAUUCGCUCCAAAUUUGACGAACUGCUGCUUCGGGAAACUGACCGUUAGGACUAAUCUGGACCGCAUGGCGACUAAUGUCCUCAUCUCUGGGAAUCAUCUGGCACCUCCCUAACUGUCUUAGCACUAUGUAUGGAGUAUAAGGUUGGAUACUCUGGAGACCCAUCAGGAGGAAAUGAAGCCCGAUGCUGGCACAUAUAUGACUUCAUCAACAGGAAGCCACACGAACGUCCACUCUACUUGGCUUGCACUUAUGGCAUAGAGAUGUGAUACCCAUUCUAUAGCACCCUUUGGUAAUUUAAGCCCAUCAACCCUGCUAUAAAAUUCCUAUAAGCAGCUUUUUGUUGACGACCCAUAACUAAUGAAUUGAGGUCGAUGGAACAAGUGUUCAAUCAUCCAUAUUUGCAGCAACAGGUUGCAUCCUUUAAAAAAAAUCUCCUCCGGCUUUACAUGCGGUGAGAACACGGAAGAUUUCAGAUAAUAUCAUGGGCGUAAGGGUGCUCUUGGCUUGAGUGAUCAAAGCGAUGACAGCCCAUGCUAUCCAUAUAUCAAUAUUUCCGUCUUUUCGUGGGAACACCAGAAGGCCCAAGAAGAAUACCAUAAAUGCGAAACACAUGUGUUCUUGACAUUUAAUUUGAUUUCCCUUGCUACAAAUAUUAUUUUCCGCGUCAUUAAAUCCCCUAUGUGCCCAUACCUCUUAUAUAUAAACUGUGGAGUACAAUGCCGGCUCACAGGUCUGGAUUGUGAACCUUCCUACUAAUCUUUAAUGAAUCCAAGAAUUUGUGUACGGCGAUGGCCCUUGGCGCAAUCAGAUACUGAUGCCUCAGAGGAAUUGUGGUAACCCCGAUAUAUCCGGUUAUUUCUUCCAGGUUUGGAGUGAGUUCAAAGUCCGGAAAAUAAAAUACAUUGUGGGCCGGGUCCCAGAUGAACCAAUGCUUUUAAGAUGUCCCCUCUAGGAUUAAUUUUCGACAAACCGGUAAGUCCUCCCAAGUGUGUGCUGACCUUGUUUUUCCCCGAUUCACCUAGAUCAUUCCAUCACAUGUAUAUCUCUAAAGGGAUUUUGUUCAUGACUGAGAUUGAAAAACUUUGAUUUGUGCUCAUUCUGCACAUUUAUUAAGGUGAUUAAGCAAAAAUCAUGAUUUAUCGGACGCGAAAACAAAAUAUGAUAAUAAAAAAAAUCAAAUUUUCAUUUCAAAAAUACAAUUCCGUCCUAGUAAAUACGGCCUUUUAGCACUUCCAGGGGAAGAUUUUAAGGAUGUGCCUACUACCGGCCAAAAUUUAGAAAAUAAUCCAAGGCGGCUAUUUUUGCAAAAACAGUCUUCCGGCGCCCUUUUAGGGACACUCGGCUAAUUUUGACAAAAACAGCUUUAUUUAUUAAUGACAAACAAAAAUUUGUUUUUUUUGGCUAUUUUCGCAAAAACGAAGUUGGGCCCGAUGGAGGUUGCCUACGUAUCUCACAUCCUGUGAGAUACAAACUGGCAUAGUUUGGGAAAUUUUGGAAAGAUUAAAAGCCAACUUCUAUUUCCUUUUCUUGAAAAUAAGACUCUUUUUUGGGUUUUCUUUUUCAAAACUUCGGCAGCACUUCAGUAGCUCUUAUGAAACAGGUAAAUUCCUUCUUCAUUCCUCACAUGUUGUCACUUACCAAAUUCCCUCUCUUUUCUUUUUCUCUUUUUUUCAAAAGCCGGUUGGCAUGCAAAUCCGACAUGAAUGCACAAAGAGCAAGCAAAAUGCACUAGGAUGGUCCAUUAUUUUGGGUGCACCUGUCCUAGACGGACCCAACCCCUAUGUUGAGUCCCCUAAAUCAAAUGCAUGAUGUAAUUAAGCGCUCCUACUAGGGCUCCGGCAUGUGGUUAAGUUAUUUUAAGAUUAAAACCUUGGCAUAGGGUCUAGACUGUGUACCUGAGCGGACAACUCGAGUCGAGGAGGGGGCUACGUACCAAGAACCAAAAGGUCAUCCGGCUUUGUAACUUGUCUGAGCCUCUUUCUUAUUUGAAGGUAUGAUACUAACAUAAUAGGGAGUCUCGACCAGCGAGCACAUCCCCGAAGAUGAGAAGAGAAGGGAUUCACAACAGUUAAUAUACGGUCCAAAUAAUAUUAAAGAGGUAAAAUAACAUUUAACACAUUGGGCACAAUUAUGCAAUAAAAUCAGAUAAUAAAGCCAGAUACAACAAUUAUUUAAAGCUCAAAUUCUUGAACCCUGAACCAGAGAUUCUAGGUUCGAUCCCAGCAGAGUCUCCAGAGCUGUCACACCUCCUUUUUAACAUCUACAACCCCGGCGAAGGGCGUCGAUAAGGGAGUUUUUCCAAUUAAAGGACAAUCGAAGUGGGAUUUAUUUAUUUAAGAGAUUUCAGAGUCACCACUUGAGAUAAUUAAUGGUGUCUCAAGUCACUGAUUUAAAUCUCGAAUCGAGGAAGGGGUUGACUCUGUUUAACACCCUGCGAACCAGGAAUCUGGGUAAGGAAUUCUGUUAACCUGGGAGAAGGUGUUAGGCACUCACGAGUUCCGUGGUUCUAUCACUGUCUCUCAACUGCUGUAUUUGGCUUAGUUUUGUAUCUAUGUGUAAAUUUAAACUUUAGCUGCUUUUAUUUAAUUGAUUAAAGGAAGAUUGCAACGCCGUUAAAAUACGUCUUGAAAUCACGUCACAUAAAUCCACCCGCAGUUUUUGACAUAUUUCAACAUCAUUGAUAUUUGGAUUUGGAUUGCAUAAAUGCACACCCGUAAUUAGGAAGAUACAUUAUUUAACUAACACGCUCAAAAUAGUUUCGUGUGUUUAAAUUUUGCAAGGGCCACGAAAAUUUGCUAAGUGGUGCACCUCGGACUCUAAGGUUUCGAAUUUGAGUACUCAAUGUAAUUAUUCAAAUUUAUUCGGCAUUGGCGUCAUUUCCGCACUUCAACCUAUUUUAACUGAAUGUUUUUUAAAUUAACCUACGAGGAACAGGAGCUACUUGUCUUAUCCAUUUCGGCUUUCCUUGGCUAGUUAGGAACUUUAACUAUUGAAACGUUAAUAGAGUUGGGGUUUUGUGAGCGCUCUAGACCUAGUGAGGUCCUAUGGCCCUAUUUCGGAUGGCCUUAUGGCCUAGGGCCCAAGCAAUAGCCCACGUCUUUGAGGCUACUCAUGCCCAAUUGAAUGGGAUUCAAAGUUGAGCCUCAGGUGUGCCAGUGACACACGUAGUCGAGAUCGUUGGCACAGACCCAACAAGGUUCUUAGCAAACAGACAAAACAUUAUCCAAUCACUUGAAUUACCCUCUAAUUAAUAGCAUGCUUAACAAACAUAACUACAAAAUUGCUCUAGGAACAUUGUAGACCAAACAGGACCCUACAAAAUCAUCAUAGCAAAUCAACAUGAAUCUAAACGCUUAACCCAAACUAAUCAUGCUUAAGCUCAUACUGCAAAUAAAUCAUUACUUAUCUUGACCCUUAACAUCAUUAUUCUAAACCCCUUUCUUUAAAAAAGACUGAUUAUAAACUAAAUGAUAACUUCAGAAUGCCCAACAAUUAAAGCAAAGUAUUACAUGAUCCGUGCUAAUUUCUGAUUCAUAUUUUAAGGGCAUCAUCAAUCAACUUAAACGGCAGGCUUGUUUACAGAAGUUUGAAACAGUCCAUUCAUUACUGCAAGUCCAAAUCUAACAAAUAAAUUACAACAUUGAUUAUGCAAAGGGUUACAUAUGAUGAGUAAACUGCAUAAUGCUUAAAGAAACUAGAGGGAAAACUAACAAUUAGUCGACAGGAACAAUCAUCAAUUAUCAUUCAUCCUUAAACUUGAUUAUAAGACUUUCAACAUUGCCUUUCAUGUGUUGUUUAGGGAUUGACACAUACCUGGGAAAUAAGAGGAAAUAAAUAGGAGGUGAGCUUCAGCAAGUGAACAGAGCAACAGCAAGACGACAAUAUAUCAACAUCAAUAGUUCAUUUCAACCAAUAAAGGGUGUGACACAGCCCAGAACCUAGUCUUUACCAAACAACAAUCGAAACUGAGUUCAAACCAGAUUUUAUUGGAGCAAAAUCAAACCAUUUUCACUACAAAUGACACAACACUUUUCAAAAGAUCAAAAUAUCAAGUGGAAUCCUAUUGGAACAGUAAACUUUUAGUCCCUUUUAGCCAUUUAAGUUUCUUCUGAGUUUUUAUCAUUGAAAAAUUCUCAAAUCAAACCAUUUUAGCUCUCCAACAAACCAGCCUUCAUUUCAGGCUUUAUAAAUCUAAGAAAGCACAAAGAAACACUUAAUGUAAUGGUGAAUUCUCUGAAAUUCUUAGCCGUUCUAGAAGCUUCUUACUCUCUAUCUCUUUCUUUGGUUCUCCUUCUAAGGCAAGAGAGUUGCCUUUAUAGGCAAGUAAACUAGGGCACCCUUAUAUUCUUAAUUUUCAUUUUAGUCCUUCAUUUUUUGACUUGUUAACCAAGUUAUAGCACCAAAAUUUUACAGGAAGCCCCUACUAGAAGCUUCCUAUUCUUGUUACUAAAGAUUCCCUAAGUGAUUUACCUAUACUAUCCUCUCAUUCCCUGAAAAUUAACCUAAACUACCAGCCUGGGUCAAUUUGACCCAAGGCAAAAUCACAUCUGGGCCUUCAACCUCUUUGAAUUGACCCUAUUGUUCUGGGCUUUUACAUGACAGAACUUUAACAAGUGAUCAAACAAACUUCAGGAGUUAAACCCUUAAAUUGAGUCUUUGAAUUAAAACCUCUGAAUUAUACCCCUAGAGUUAAAAGAAAUCUAGGCACAAUUAUGCAAUUAAAGGUAAAAAGCAUCAUCUUAACAAUCAAACUAGUUAAAAUUGUAAAAUAACUGGAUAAUAAGAUCAAAUCAAAUCAACUAGACCUAGAUUCCUGAUUGUUUAAACAUGCGAAUCUCCACUAACAAACCUAAUCUAAUUCGAAUGAGUAAACUCUUAGAAGAGAGCUAAAAAGAAUCGGAAUGAAGGAAGAAAGAGAGAACCAACUAAAAUUUUGCUUUAACAAAACAAAGAAAAUUAAAAGCUAAAGGGAUAGUAUUCAGAUCUAACCGGAAAAGCCUAUAAAAUCUUCAUGCAUUGACAGAGCUUUGAUCUAAGAUUCGAGCCGUCUGAGGGAUAUUUGGAGAAAACCAACGGUGGAUUUGUCAUGAGGGAGGUGAGUGGGUCAUUUGGUAUUGAUUUGGGACCGUUUGCCAGCGGCGGCACCGUGCACGGCGGUGGAGUCCAUGUUUCAAAUGGAUAUUGGAGACGUUUGGCUGAUAUUCGAAAGACACCAGGAACGGAUUUGGAUAGAGGAGGUUGAGGGGAGGAGACGGUGUAAUUUUGGUGGCCAUUGGGUGAUCAUCACCGGAGGAGGUGACUUCCGGCCAGCGGUUUGCGGAUGAGAGACGGUGGUGUUAUAUGUCUCUGAUAACAGGUGAGAGACAGUCGGUGGUGUUAUAUGUCUCUGAUAACAGGUGAUAGACAGAGGUAGGGGUAGGGGUUCU